This 527-nucleotide ribosomal RNA is filed under the name Kocuria palustris. RNAcentral's name for it is "bacterial SSU rRNA". It matches the Rfam family "Bacterial small subunit ribosomal RNA", at positions 55 to 594 of the family's 1533-position model. Lineage: Bacteria; Bacillati; Actinomycetota; Actinomycetes; Micrococcales; Micrococcaceae. The record is from RNAcentral.
AUGCAGUCGACGCUGAGCACCAGCUUGCUGGUGUGGAUGAGUGGCGAACGGGUGAGUAAUACGUGAGUAACCUGCCCUUGACUCUGGGAUAAGCCCGGGAAACUGGGUCUAAUACUGGAUGCUACAUGUCACCGCAUGGUGGUGUGUGGAAAGGGUUUACUGGUCUUGGAUGGGCUCACGGCCUAUCAGCUUGUUGGUGAGGUAAUGGCUCACCAAGGCGACGACGGGUAGCCGGCCUGAGAGGGUGACCGGCCACACUGGGACUGAGACACGGCCCAGACUCCUACGGGAGGCAGCAGUGGGGAAUAUUGCACAAUGGGCGAAAGCCUGAUGCAGCGACGCCGCGUGAGGGAUGACGGCCUUCGGGUUGUAAACUCUUUCAGCAGGAAGAAGCCACAAGUGACGGUACCUGCAGAAGAAGCGCCGGCUAACUACGUGCCAGCAGCCCGCGGUAAUACGUAGGCCGCAAGCGUUGUCCGGAAUUAUUGGGCGUAAAGACUUCGUAGGGCGGUUGGCCGCGUCUUGCU